This is a long non-coding RNA of Oncorhynchus tshawytscha (Chinook salmon), 3095 nucleotides long. RefSeq lists it as uncharacterized. The record is from RefSeq and is a predicted model, not a curated record. NCBI's taxonomy places the organism in Eukaryota, Metazoa, Chordata, Actinopteri, Salmoniformes, Salmonidae. The transcript has 3 exons.
GCUGAGGGCUGGGGAGCUGAGGGCUGGGGAGCUGAGGGCUGGGGAGCUGACGGCUGUGUGACAAACAGGUGCUGCUAGAUUACAAUAUCAUUCUUCUGCCUGUUUGGAACACUAAAUAAGUAAUCUGUCUGUUCUAACAAAAAUAAAUUGUGAAGCCUUUUUAUUUGAUUUAACUAGGCAAGUCCUUUAAGAACACCUUUUUAUUUACGGCCUUACCGGGGAACAGUGGGUUUAACCACCUUGUUCAAGGGGCAGAACGGCAGAUUUUUCUUUUACCUUCUCAGCUCAAGGAUUCGAUCUUGCAACCUUUUCAGGAUACUGGCCCGAAGCUCUCAUCGCUAGACUACCUGCCACCCCUUAUUACAGCAUAGCAGAGAUUAAAAACAGACCAAUCUGUGAAAUUAUUUAGUCCGUCACGUUGCAUGAAGCUUGGUGCUCACAGAAUCAGUAGGCUAUUAAACAAAGGCAACCGAAGCAAGAUCGGUCUUUUUUUCAGUAGAGAUAUAUAUUGGAUGAUUUAUAAAGCCAGGCACAUUUAACAGUUAGGUUAUUGAUUAUAGACCCAAUUAACUUGGUUUCCUCUAUCCACAAUUAGGCCAGGGCUGUUUCCUCGUCUCUUCUGCUGCCUCCUCCGCGUUGUUCUCUAUCUCAAUAUGCUGGUUUAUUUAGUAAUUAUAGGAAAGAAAGCAGCAAUUCAACGGUGCACUGAAGAUUGUUUCAGAACCAGGGACAGCGACUGUUUCCAACGUGGGAGAAAGUGCUUGGUUAUAUACAUACAAAGACUUUCUCCAUGAUAUAACCAAUAUACAAUUUCAGUGUCACAUUCUUUAAAGUGAUGGACUGUGUCAUCCCUGUGGCCUCCGCAAUGGUUUAGUCCACUGAGACAGGCGUGAAUCAGACAGGUGCCCUGACAUUUUUUUUUUCUAGUGAUUGCUCAACUGAAAAAAAUCUUGGGCGACCAAACAAUCAACCAGUCGACUAAAUGGGGUCAGCCCUAGGUCUUAUGUAGCAAAAUUGGAAUGUUGUUUUUUUUUUUGUACAUUGUAUAAAAGUAGAGAGAGAGAGAGAGAAAUGGUUUAUCAUACAUUGCAGUUGAGGAACAAUGAGAAGGUAAUUAUACUUUAAAAGUCGAUAAACUUGUAACCCCACAUUUUGAGAAAAUGGCCCUUGAAUGUUUUGGUACAGCUACUGGAGAGCUCUUCCUUGUCGACGCCCAUUCAGCAUCGUUCACAGCCUCCUAAUCCUUAGCCCCACCCACCUCAUUAAGGAUUCACAUGUGAGGCCAUGUGCUAAACAGAGUGAGGUAGUGUAGUAAACAACCAAAGAUUUCGAGACUAAAGGUGGUGAAAAUAGUAGCAAAAAGUAGUUUAUCUAGUCCUUGGCCUAUAUCAUAAUCUGACUUUGGUGCAGGUCAUGUUGUUCUUCACAAUGCAAAGUGUAUUUGUCAGGUGAACAGGAUACAGAUGGUGUAAACAGUGAAAUGAAAUGGUUACUCUCAUAGUAGCAAUAAAAAAAUUGUGUCCAGAUGAAAAUAUUGUAUUCAUAUUAUAUAACUAUUAGAUGAUUCUUACCCAGACACAGUUGUUUAAAUUGAUGGGUCAUGUGAAAGAAAUGCUAUAAUCACCUCCCAGCCACAUCAAGCUAGGUGGAUGAGUCACUACUGUCUAGACAUGUUCAUUAAAUACAAUAGUUGGCUGUAAUCACCUCCCAGCCACAUCUAGCUAAGUGGAUGGGUCAUGUAAUCAUCUGGCAAAGUGGAGUCUUUUGUUUAGACAUGUAGCUAGCUAGCUAAACAAUGAUUGUCAUAGCUAGCCACCAUACAUGAAUCUGCAGGUAGGUUCAAUGUUAGCUAGCUAGCUAGCUAACAUUAGGUUGUAACUAGCAAUGCAAAAUUGCUGUCUGAUAUACAACGAAUAUUACUACGCAGAUCAUACGCGUAACGUUAGCUAGCGAGCUAGCAGGCUGACGUUCCCUAGCAACCUAACAGUAAGCCUUAACUUGCAGUGAAAAUGACUUUGUGAUGAAAUUAGAAAUGUAUAAUGUCUGAAAAUGUAGCUAGCCUCUUUCCCGGUGAACAUGGAUGAACGCUUCACUGGAACCAUUUAACUCCGUUCUGUUUUGUAGAUACAGUUGGUUUGGCCCACUUUGUGUCAAGUCACUCCGGUUCACACUGACCGUAGUAGUCCGUCACAACCUUUUCCCACUGAUCUUUGUCUUUGGCGCCUGAUUUAUAAUAACAAGGCAGCAAUGUUGUUGAGAGCAGUUAUUCAGUUAUACCCUGUGGUCAAUCUGCUGCAUGUUAUUCAGUUUUACCCUGUGGUCAAUCUGCUGCAUGUUAUUCAGUUAUACCCUGUGGUCAAUCUGCUGCAUGUUAUUCAGUUAUACCCUGUGGUCAAUCUGCUGCAUGUUAUUCAGUUAUACCCUGUGGUCAAUCUGCUGCAUGUUAUUCAGUUAUACCCUGUGGUCAAUCUGCUGCAUGUUAUUCAGGUAUACCCUGUGGUCAAUCUGCUGCAUGUUAUUCAGUUAUACCCUGUGGUCAAUCUGCUGCAUGUUAUUCAGUUAUACCCUGUGGUCAAUCUGCUGCAUGUUAUUCAGUUAUACCCUGUGGUCAAUCUGCUGCAUGUUAUUCAGUUAUACCCUGUGGUCAAUCUGCUGCAUGUUAUUCAGUUAUACCCUGUGGUCAAUCUGCUGCAUGUUAUUCAGUUAUACCCUGUGGUCAAUCUGCUGCAUGUUAUUCAGUUAUACCCUGUGGUCAAUCUGCUGCAUGUUAUUCAGUUAUACCCUGUGGUCAAUCUGCUGCAUGUUAUUCAGUUAUACCCUGUGGUCAAUCUGCUGCAUGUUAUUCAGUUAUACCCUGUGGUCAAUCUGCUGCAUGUUAUUCAGUUAUACCCUGUGGUCAAUCUGCUGCAUGUUAUUCAGUUAUACCCUGUGGUCAAUCUGCUGCAUGUUAUUCAGUAUACCCUGUGGUCAAUCUGCUGCAUGUUAUUCAGUUAUACCCUGUGGUCAAUCUGCUGCAUGUUAUUCAGUUAUACCCUGUGGUCAAUCUGCUGCAUGUUAUUCAGUUAUACCCUGUGGUCAAUCUGCUGCAUGUUAUU